This 1740-nucleotide long non-coding RNA is filed under the name Homarus americanus (American lobster). RNAcentral describes it as "uncharacterized LOC121854636". The record is from RNAcentral. Lineage: Eukaryota; Metazoa; Arthropoda; Malacostraca; Decapoda; Nephropidae.
UUAUGGUAUUAUUUAAUUGUAUAAUUUCUGUUGACAAAAGGAUUUAGUUUUAUUUUAGAUCUUUGUCAAAUAACCGGCGGUUAUUGUGCCGAGUACUGGUCAAAUAAUCCCUGCCUAUAAUAUAAUAGUUUUACAGUGUUGUGUAUUAUAUAGGUAUCUGUUACAUUUCCAGGAAGCUUUAAGGACCAACAACACAUCUCGGUACGACAAGUGGAGACUCAACCGUACAGACCCGUCCGGUCUCGCACACGACGCCGUUAACGGCAAACGGAGAAACGCCGCCGCCGCCGACCCGCGGGAGGUACUUUCUCCAUCACUGCCUAAAGUGGACCUGAUGUGAACUAGAAUGAAGUUGGCUGGACCUGCAGUGAAGUGGACCUGAAGCUAACUGGACCUCAAGUAGUCUGUGGAAGCUUCAAGGACCAACAACACAUCUCGGUACGACAAGUCGAGACUCGACCGUACAGACCCGUCCGGUCUCGCACACGACGCCGUUAACGGCAAACGGAGAAACGCCGCUGGGAGGCACUUUCUCCAACACUGCCUACAGUGGACCUGAUGUGAACUAGAAUGAAGUUGGCUGGACAUAAAGUUUACUGGACCUCAAAUAGUCUGUGGUAUUGUAUUUAAUAUUGUUGUGGUACUUUGAAUGUUAGGAAAGUUGUACAGGCAUUCCCCAGUUUAUAAGAGUACUGUGUCUUAUAAAAACCUAUGGUAAAUCGAAUCACUAUUCCUAUAGACUCACAUUAUAAAAGCCAAGAUACUUUUCUACAACGAAAACAGUUCCCCCCAAAUUAUGUACGGUCCCCCAAAAAGUAUCGAUUGAAUUUUCUAGCGGUAAAAUUUGAAACUCUAGAUGAAAUACUUUGCUGUGAUCCCCAGUGCAUCAGCAUAAGUUGGUACAGGUACAUCCGGUCACUAUAUGAGCAAUAGCCGUAGACGGCGGGUAGCGAGGGAGUCGUCCUCGUGUGACAUACGACCGUACGGUAUAUGCUUUACUAUAACAAGAAAUUCAUUGAGCUAUAUUAAUGUAUGUAUCGUGCCGGUUAGAAGCGAGGCCCCGACCGAGGAUUACAAAAAUAUCGGAAUAUACAUUAAACGGAAGAGUUUUGGAACGUCACGAGCUAGACCGAGACGGACCUCGGGGCAUACGUUUCGCCACCGCGUCGUAGCGACGGUUUUAUUCGUACCGAGAUGCACAAUGUAGUCGUCGACGACACGUCUGAUUUUUGAGGAGUGACGGAGCAAAUAGUAGUUGAUAUUAGAGUGAACAGGUACAGCAAUAUACAAUAUAUUGGUCUAAAUGGGAUCUGCCAAAUAUUAUCGAUACGUAAAUGGCGUCGGUUUAACGUCAAAAUAGGAUUUUAAUCGGCGCGUCGCCCGUCGUUUAGCGGCGGGUAACCCAUCGCGAUGCCCGAGGGUUCGCUCGCCCCAUUGUGCCGAGUUAUUCGAGCGUUGCGCGUACCCUCGUCGCGAAGGCUAAUAAUAGCGCCUCUCUCCCCGUUGUGUCUUUCCGAUAAUUCCUCGGUUCAUUUGACGUACGAUCCCGGUAAUGACCGGCUCGGCGUCCGUUUACGACACGCAAUCCAAAUUCGCGCUACGUGCGAUGCGAAUCCUCGGAGGAUUUGCAUCUUUCAAAAACACAUACAGUCGUGCGCCGGUUAACAUCCGAUAGCAUAUACAGUCGGCCCUUAACAUUCGCUGGGGUUAGGUAACAGAGAUACCCGUGAAUGUUAAAAA